RNAcentral lists this ribosomal RNA (1018 nucleotides) under uncultured bacterium. RNAcentral's name for it is "bacterial SSU rRNA". It matches the Rfam family "Bacterial small subunit ribosomal RNA", at positions 357 to 1376 of the family's 1533-position model. The record is from RNAcentral.
AGGAAUAUUGGUCAAUGGGCGAGAGCCUGAACCAGCCAAGUAGCGUGCAGGACGACGGCCCUAUGGGUUGUAAACUGCUUUUAUAAGGGAAUAAAGUGAGUCUCGUGAGACUUUUUGCAUGUACCUUAUGAAUAAGGACCGGCUAAUUCCGUGCCAGCAGCCGCGGUAAUACGGAAGAUCCGGGCGUUAUCCGGAUUUAUUGGGUUUAAAGGGAGCGUAGGCCGGAGAUUAAGCGUGUUGUGAAAUGUAGACGCUCAACGUCUGCACUGCAGCGCGAACUGGUUUCCUUGAGUACGCACAAAGUGGGCGGAAUUCGUGGUGUAGCGGUGAAAUGCUUAGAUAUCACGAAGAACUCCGAUUGCGAAGGCAGCUCACUGGAGCGCAACUGACGCUGAAGCUCGAAAGUGCGGGUAUCGAACAGGAUUAGAUACCCUGGUAGUCCGCACGGUAAACGAUGGAUGCCCGCUGUUGGUCUGAACAGGUCAGCGGCCAAGCGAAAGCAUUAAGCAUCCCACCUGGGGAGUACGCCGGCAACGGUGAAACUCAAAGGAAUUGACGGGGGCCCGCACAAGCGGAGGAACAUGUGGUUUAAUUCGAUGAUACGCGAGGAACCUUACCCGGGCUUGAAUUGCAGAGGAAGGAUUUGGAGACAAUGACGCCCUUCGGGGCCUCUGUGAAGGUGCUGCAUGGUUGUCGUCAGCUCGUGCCGUGAGGUGUCGGCUUAAGUGCCAUAACGAGCGCAACCCCUCUCCUUAGUUGCCAUCAGGUUAAGCUGGGCACUCUGGGGACACUGCCACCGUAAGGUGUGAGGAAGGUGGGGAUGACGUCAAAUCAGCACGGCCCUUACGUCCGGGGCUACACACGUGUUACAAUGGCAGGUACAGAGAGACGGUCCCUUGCAAAAUGGAUCAAAUCCUUAAAGCCUGUCUCAGUUCGGACUGGGGUCUGCAACCCGACCCCACGAAGCUGGAUUCGCUAGUAAUCGCGCAUCAGCCAUGGCGCGGUGAAUACGUUCCCG